UAGUAACAUAUUCAAAUUUUCAAAUUUGGGAUUCAAAUUUUCCCGCAUAAACGUUCAUACCCAAGUGGGAACUUCGAUCGCCUCGCUCGACUCGAUCGAUUGCCGAUAGAUGAGUAUCGAUUUAUUUGUGAUGUGAUUGUUUGUACAAAUGACGAAAUUACGCGAGUUUAACAGUUAUAUUAUUCCGCUAAUUUCGGCAGUUGUAUUAAAAUUACGUGCAUAACAUAACAUAAACUGUUUCCCAGACUUUGGACGUUAACAGAUGCGUUUCGCAUCCUUCACCUCCAAAUGAGGGCGGCGUAUUUUAGGGACAUUUCCGUCCCUUUAUGCCCAACGAACAUUAUCGACUGCUCUCAUACUUGUCCGUACUUUUAAAUCUCACACUCUUUCUGUACUUUUAAAUCCACUCAUCUUUAUCCGCUUAUUUGUUGCCAACAGCACAUGGUAACCCAUCUUUUGGCGAAACCAUGCCCACUUAGCUUAAAGAUGCAUAACCUCAGCACGUGUAUUCUUUGUGUCACAAGCACAAAGGACACGCGUAGAUUUCCUACUUGGAAGACAUUCCUCCUCAAAGUAUGGUAUUAAUUCUUAUUAUUAUGAAAAUUUAUUUCUAAAUUAUCACACAAUUAGUUGUUAGAUCAAUUCUAAUGAGAAAAUGCACGAAACAUUACGAAUUUUUCAAAAUGAAUUCUCAUCGUGGUUAUAUCAGAAAAAGUACAUUAAAAAGGCGCCAUAUUUGAAAACUCCCUAAAAGAGAAAAAUGACCGGAAGUGAACGAAGUAAACGUAAACUUUUUUAUGAUUUUUAUGAUUUCAGAACUUAAAUUAAAAAUAGAUUUAAAUAAACGAAUUAUUUAGCUUAUUAUUGCGAAUACAUUUUUAAUCGGCAAACCGGAAGUUUACGUAGGUACUUCGUCUUCCAUACAGAAGCAGACAGGGGAUUCAAGAAACACACAGAGGAGGAUCCUCGUCCGAGCUCUAGUUCUUUUAUUCGUCAGUUUUGAGAGCGAGCUUUGCAUUCAAAGAGAAUGGCGGUUAUUAUACACGCGUGUAUACGUGAUAAGAGCGGCAAACAGAAGCCGUUAAAACAAAUUAAAAAGAGCAGGAAAUUGGGUUAAGCACAGGUCAAGAUGGACGAGUGUAAUUUAUUAUACGCGGUUAUGUAAAUGAAAAAGCUGAAAAAGAAGAGGAGAAGAGGGCGUACACAGCUAGAACUGAAAAUAGACGGUCUUCCGAUCGAAUAAAAGGAAUCGAGUGGCUAAAAACUGCCGAAGGGCACAUACACACAGGCGGAAUCAAGAAAUCCAGCUGUCACGCUAUAAAUUGUCCCGUAGUUUACUUUGUAUUCAGCAAAUUUGUUUCGACAUUUUUCUUCGCUCAGUCAGGGUACAUCGUAUCUUUGAACAUGGAGGAAAGGCGUACGCGCGUGGCGCUGUUGACCCGUUUAAAAAAGAUCACCCUCGCAUCUGUUGCUGAGCGCAACAGAUCCUACGGUUGGACGAGGAGGUUAUGCCAGGAAGAAGGAGGACGAAACGUGCACGAUGAAAUGCGAUUUUUUUUUCUCCUUUUGCUGGCGUGACUCGUCGUUGCUGACGCCGCGAGUCUCUAUCUUGAAAAUUUUCAACCAUACUCCUUGAACACCUUCGAACGAUCCAUGGUUGAUCACUGGUAUCACCCGAAAGCAUAUUUCUGCAAGAGCAACGAUCGCAAUUGGUCGCUGGUUAAAAAGACCCGGGUGCGUCCGCUUCUGGUCCUCGCCUCGUGUGAGCCCGCAUUGUGCCGCUUGGUGGAUGAAGAAGGAGAAAGCGAGAGAGAGAGAGAGAGGGGAUAGGAUCGUCGCGAAAUAUG
Osmia bicornis bicornis is the source of this 1847-nucleotide long non-coding RNA. RefSeq lists it as uncharacterized. NCBI's taxonomy places the organism in Eukaryota, Metazoa, Arthropoda, Insecta, Hymenoptera, Megachilidae. The transcript is spliced from 5 exons. The record is from RefSeq and is a predicted model, not a curated record.